GAUGAACGCUGGCGGCGUGCCUAAUACAUGCAAGUCGAGCGAAGAGAUGAGGGGCUUUCCCCUCGGAUGAUUGCGCCGGACGGGGGAGUAAAACGUGUAAAACACACCUAUCAUACUGGGAGAAAACCGGGAAAAAGGAUCUCUUACCGCGUAUAACAGUAUACCGCAUGGGAGAGCAGUGUAAGAGUUUGUUAUGCUAACACUAAGAUGUAGCCGCGCGGCGCAUUAGCUAGUUGGUGGGGUAAGGGCCCACCAAGGCGACGAUGCAUAGCCGACCUGAGAGGGUGAUCGGCCACACUGGGACUGAGACACGGCCCAGACUCCUACGGGAGGCAGCAGUAGGGAAUCUUCCGCAAUGGGCGAAAGCCUGACGGAGCAACGCCGCGUGAGUGAAGAAGGACUUCGGAUCGUAAAGCUCUGUUGUUAGGGAAGAACGGAUAUGUAGUAACCAUAGAUGUAAGAGACGGUACCUAAUCAGAAAGCCACGGCUAACUACGUG
This 499-nucleotide ribosomal RNA is filed under the name uncultured bacterium. RNAcentral describes it as "partial 16S ribosomal RNA". It matches the Rfam family "Bacterial small subunit ribosomal RNA", at positions 28 to 507 of the family's 1533-position model. The record is from RNAcentral.